Anser cygnoides (Swan goose) is the source of this 83-nucleotide small nucleolar RNA. The record is from Ensembl. NCBI's taxonomy places the organism in Eukaryota, Metazoa, Chordata, Aves, Anseriformes, Anatidae.
CAGAUACACUGAUGAUAACAUAGUUCAGCAGAGUUUCUUGUGAUGAACAGAGUUUUGUCUUUCGCUCCUAUCUGAUGUAUCUU